UUUAGCUCAGUGGCAUAAGUGCCUGCCUUGGAAGCAUGUGAUCAUGAGUUUGAGCCUCAUAA
RNAcentral lists this transfer RNA (62 nucleotides) under Cavia porcellus (domestic guinea pig). It matches the Rfam family "tRNA", at positions 6 to 65 of the family's 71-position model. Rfam says of the family: Transfer RNA (tRNA) molecules are approximately 80 nucleotides in length. Their secondary structure includes four short double-helical elements and three loops (D, anti-codon, and T loops). The record is from Rfam by way of RNAcentral. Lineage: Eukaryota; Metazoa; Chordata; Mammalia; Rodentia; Caviidae.